RNAcentral lists this ribosomal RNA (49 nucleotides) under Gibellula sp. BCC14505. RNAcentral describes it as "partial 28S ribosomal RNA". The record is from RNAcentral. Lineage: Eukaryota; Fungi; Ascomycota; Sordariomycetes; Hypocreales; Cordycipitaceae.
GACCUCGGAUCAGGCAGGACCACCCGCUGAACUUAAGCAUAUCAAUAAG